UUUAUGUCUACCUCCUUCCUUCUUUACAUGUGAAUUGCUUGAAAGUUUUUAAACUUUACAUUUGUACUUGAUGUCUGUGGAUGCUAAAGCUCUGUACGAGUCAUAGCGACUUUAUUAUUAUUAUUUAUUAUUAUUAUUAUUAUUAUUAUUAUUAUAUGUGUGUGUGUGUUUAAGUCAGAGGACAACUUUAUGAAGUUUGUUCCCUCCUUCUUUAUGUGGUUUUCCAGGAUUGAACUCAGGUCAUUAUUAGGCUUGCAUAGCAAACACCUUUACUCAUUGAGCCAUCACAUGAGUCUCAGGAAGACCUUUAUAUGAUUAAACCUCAUAUGAUGUGCCAAAAAAUUCUUAAGUUGAAACUAUAGGGAUGCUUUUUUGCCUACUUCUUCCUUUAUAUAUCUUUGUUGUCUAUUCAUGCAUGUGCAGAUGAGUUCACUCAUGCCACUGUGUCUGGAGGUUAGAUGUUAACAUCAGGUGGCUUCCUCUAUAGUGCCCCCUCUUAGUUUUUGAAACAGGAUCUCUUGCUGGACAUGAAACUCACCAAAUUGCUACACUAGCUAACCAGCGAGCACUUGGGAUCUACCUGUCUCUGACUCCUGUUGCUAGGAAUACAGAUAAGCACCACCAUGCCCAGCUUUUACAUGUAAGCUGGGGACUCUGAAUUCAGGUCCUGAUACUUGUAAAGUAAGUAUUUUACUAUUGAGCCAUUUUUUUCAGUGUUACUUUUGAACUAAUAUUAUAUUUCACAUACAGUGGUACAUUCCUGUAAUCCUAGCUCUCGGGAAAAUGAGGCAGGGGUACUGUGAUAUCAAGACCAGCCUGGUCUACAUUGUGUAAGGUGAAAUAUUCCUUUAAAACUAGAGAAAAAUAGUUGGGCAUGGUGGAGCAUACCUAUAAUUCUAGCACCGUGGAAGCAGAGAUAGGGAGAUCUAGUUUGUGUCCCUGAGUCACAUGGAUAGUUCUAGGCUAGUCUGGGCUUAAAUAGCAAAAUGUUGUCUGAAACCAGUCAACCAACCAACCCAGACAACCACAUAAACACCCAAAACAAACAAACAACAGAAAGAAUCAAAGAAGUUGGCUCAAAUUAUUUGGACAGAUAGAUUCCUGAUCUUAACAAUAAUAAACUACAUAGCAGAUAUAAUUGCCUUUUUAGAUAUAUGCAAUGUCAAUUUUUGGUUAAAUGAUAGGUUAUUAUGGAUUAAGUCUAUUUUCACUGAGUUUUUUUUUUAAUUUUAACAUAGCCCCUGUAGCCUAAAAGUUGUCAUCCUCUGCUUCCUAUUGUGCUGGGAUUGUAGGAGUAAUGUCAACAUGCCUGGCUUUCAGUUGACUUCUUCACUAAUAUAUAUGCAAACAUUCCCUCGCAUAGACCUAUGUCCAAAGAAUGUGAUAUAGUUUUGUAGUGUAUAUAUAUAUGCAACAUAGAGUUAUAUGAGUGUGAAUUACAAGGGGCCCCUUAUUAGGAGUAACUCUGGCUUGUUUUUUUGUGGGGCUAGAGAGAGAUAGAACUCAGUCUGGCACAUUCUAAGUAAGUUCUCUGUCACUGAGCUGUCCCUUUCUCCUACCUCCUGAUUUUCCAAACCCCUAGCUGUGCCAUUUUAGUUCAAUUUACUUGAUCUCUGAUUACUUUGAAAUCUUCUGGCCUUUUGAAAUAAUCUUGUGUAGCCCAGGCUGAUCUCAAAUUUGUCAUGUAGCCAAAUAUGAUUUGGAACUUCUGAUCCUCUGGUCUUCUGCCUCUUGAGUUCUGAGAUGUGCAUCACUACAUUCAGCUUUAUGAGGUGCUGAGGAUCAAACCCAGGGCUCAGCAAGCAUUCUGAAUUACAUUCCUCUGGUUCUUUUUUAAUUUUUUUUAAAGAAAGAUUUUAUUUUUUAAGCCCCCCCCCGUGUGUGUGUGUGUGUGUGUGUGUGUGUGUGUGUGUGUGUGUGUGUGAACACAGGUACAAGAGACCAGUGGCAUCAGAUCCUCCUACCUGGAGUUAUAGGCAGUUGUGAACUGCUGAAUGUGGGUCUUGGGAACCAGUUAGAUCCUUUAUAAGAGCAGUAUUCAUGCACUCUUAUCUUAGCCUCUGGGCCAUCUCCCCAGCCCAACCUUUCUCUUCAGCCAUCUUUUUAAUUCUUUUAUUAAAAAGACUAGGAGCCCAGGCCAGCCCCGAGUUUGGUACUCCAAGGAUCCUCUUGUAUCAGCUGUCAGAGUAGCUGGAGCACCCACACUUUUUUCUGACAGGAUCUUAUUAUAGUCAGCCCAGGCAGGCGAGUGCUGGGAUUGCAAGCAUGGGCCAUGAUCACCACAUGUCACUUAGUUUUUUUUGAGCCUCUUUUAAAAAAAAUUAUAAGAGAAUAAUAACAGUUUUACUUAUCUCAGGAUUUUUGUGAUGAUUGAAUGAAAAUGUGUAAGAGGAUUUAGAAACACAUGGUGUAUUUCUAAAAUACUCUCAGUAAGUUGUAACUGAUAAAAUUUAUUUGAAUAUGUACCUUAUUGUUAUUAUUUCUUCAGCUGUUUUUUUUUUUUUUUUUUUUUUUUGAGACAGGGUUUCAAUGUGUAACCCUGGCUGGCCUAGAGAUCUAUCCAACCUGACCUCAAACCUACAGAGCUUCAUCUUCAUCUGCCUCAUACCUUUAAUCUCAGCACCCUGAAUGAGGCCAACCAGAACUAUAUAAUAGAGAGACCCUGUCACAAACAAAUGAAAACAACAAAAACUAAGCCUUUCCUUAGGUCAUUAGGAAAUACUUUUUUUCUUGUUAUGUUAGAGUUUCUUCUAGUAAUAUAACUUUGCUUUGAUAUUUAGCCCUAUAAUCUACAUUAAAUUUUCUUUUGUACCUGAUCUUAGGUAACUCUUUAACUCUCCUCCUCCAGAAGAUAGCCAUUUAUCUUGACACAAUUUAUCCUCCACAAAUUUGAAAUUCUUACAUUGGAGUAUAUUCCCAAGUCUUAGGUUUUUAAAAGCAUAUAUUUAUUUUUGUGCUGAAACCAUAUUGUUUAGGUAAUUAUAGUUAUAUUGUAUGCUAAUAUUUGAUAAAUAAAAAUUUUCAUUGUCUUAUUUCAAGAUUUUAGUAGUGAGAGAAUUUUGAUGAUACCUUACUGUAGCCCAAGGUGGCCAGGAACUCAUGGUAGUUUGCUUGCCUUAGCCUUCCAGGUGCUAGCAUGCCAGGAAUGAGCUAGCAUGUCCCCUGCUUCAAGAUAGUUUUAGUUUUCCUUGUGUGCCCUGUGAGAAUCAAUCAGUUUGUUUGGAAUUUUGAUUGGUUUCACACUGACUUUUUGAUAAACUGGUGGUAAGAAAGGUAGUAUUAGCAAGUGUGGUGGUGCAUUCCUAUAAUCCUGGCACUUGGGGAGGCUGAGACAGGAAGGUUGCUGUGAGUUCAAGGACAGACUGGGUUGAAUAACAAGACCCUGUGUC
RNAcentral lists this long non-coding RNA (3389 nucleotides) under Mus musculus (house mouse). RNAcentral describes it as "long non-coding RNA chrX:151176327-151179716". The record is from RNAcentral. Lineage: Eukaryota; Metazoa; Chordata; Mammalia; Rodentia; Muridae.